GAUGAACGCUGGCGGCGUGCCUAAUACAUGCAAGUCGAGCGAACAGACGAGGAGCUUGCUCCUCUGACGUUAGCGGCGGACGGGUGAGUAACACGUGGAUAACCUACCUAUAAGACUGGGAUAACUUCGGGAAACCGGAGCUAAUACCGGAUAAUAUAUUGAACCGCAUGGUUCAAUAGUGAAAGACGGUUUUGCUGUCACUUAUAGAUGGAUCCGCGCCGCAUUAGCUAGUUGGUAAGGUAACGGCUUACCAAGGCAACGAUGCGUAGCCGACCUGAGAGGGUGAUCGGCCACACUGGAACUGAGACACGGUCCAGACUCGUAUGGGAGGCAGCAGUAGGGAAUCUUCCGCAAUGGGCGAAAGACUGACGGAGCAACGCCGCGUGAGUGAUGAAGGUCUUCGGAUCGUAAAACUCUGUUAUUAGGGAAGAACAAAUGUGUAAGUAACUAUGCACGUCUUGACGGUACCUAAUCAGAAAGCCACGGCUAACUACGU
Molecule: ribosomal RNA, 496 nt
Filed under: uncultured bacterium
Lineage: Bacteria
Description: partial 16S ribosomal RNA
Rfam family: Bacterial small subunit ribosomal RNA
Source: RNAcentral